GACGAACGCUGGCGGCGUGCCUAAUACAUGCAAGUCGAACGCAGAGGGGACGGGUGAGUGACACGUGGGUAACCUACCAUCAGAGGGGAUCCCACUUGGCAACAGGUGCUAAAACCGACACCGAUGGAUAGACCAGCGGUGACUUAGCUAGUAGGUGAGGUAACGGCUCACCAAGGCCCCGAGUCAUAGCCGACCUGAGAGGGUGAUCGGCCACACUGGGACUGAGACACGGCCCAGACUCCUACGGGAGGCAGCAGUAGGGAAUCUUCGGCAAUGGACGAAAGUCUGACCGAGCAACGCCGCGUGAGUGAAGAAGGUUUUCGGAUCGUAAAACUCUGUUGUUAGAGAAGCGGUAUCUAACCAGAAAGCCACGGCUAACUACGUGCCAGCAGCCGCGGUAAUUC
Molecule: ribosomal RNA, 404 nt
Filed under: uncultured bacterium
Lineage: Bacteria
Description: partial 16S ribosomal RNA
Rfam family: Bacterial small subunit ribosomal RNA
Source: RNAcentral